AUCUAAUAAACGCAUGGACUGUCAAUAAGUUUCAAUUAGUUUUCGUUUAGCAUUAAAAUACCCUGAUCCUAUACCAAACGGAGCUGCUUCUUGCUUCAUUUACACCUAAGGAUCGAAUCACAUUUGAAUUGACUAGAGUAAUCAUGCGACCCAUAUACUACUUAUUACAUAAUGAUCGAAACCAAAAUAAACCUAAGCUAACAAAUUUGAAAAUACGCAACAGCUGAUAGAAUUAUACACCAAUUCCUUAUAAUAGACAAAACCAGAAUAGACAUGAACAAAUAUGCUUCAGCUUGUGGUUUCCAUUUCCUUUCCCCAAAUUUCAUGACAAUCAGCUAAGUUUACAACGCGUGUACCUGGAUAUGACCAAAGAUAAUGGUAAAUUCGAGUCAAGGGGCAGAAAGUAACAAGCAAUAGCAGUGAGCAGCAAUUAGCAGUAGUUUCAAAUGGAUUUUGAAUCCAGGAAAUAGUGUCAAAUAGAUCCAAAACAAACUUUGAAUGUGCACCAACAAUAUAUAACCCAAAAUCAACUUGAAUGACCAAAACACAGCUUGAAACCAACCCAGGAAUUCUGGACUUUCAAUUACCCAAACACUAGGAAUAUCCAAACCAUCUUCAGCGUUAUAUAAGCUAGAAAUUUGAAUUAACAGCUGGAACUCAAAAAUUAUCCUAAGAAACUCCAAUGGAAUAGUAAUUUUUUGAAGUUUUGAUCGCUUGCAGUUUCAGGACUUUGCAGUUUUUCUAAGACUAAUAUAUUUCUUUUUGAUUUUUGAAUAUUUGAUCUAACUAUGCUUCUCCCUUUUAAUUUCAAAUUGCAGAUAUCUAAAUUUCCCAAAAAAACGCAACCCCCCUUUUUAGAGGCAAG
This 865-nucleotide long non-coding RNA is filed under the name Nicotiana benthamiana. RNAcentral describes it as "long non-coding RNA (NBEN_LNC020749)". Lineage: Eukaryota; Viridiplantae; Streptophyta; Magnoliopsida; Solanales; Solanaceae. The record is from RNAcentral.